This 253-nucleotide ribosomal RNA is filed under the name uncultured bacterium. Its description in RNAcentral is "partial 16S ribosomal RNA". It matches the Rfam family "Bacterial small subunit ribosomal RNA", at positions 524 to 776 of the family's 1533-position model. The record is from RNAcentral.
UACGGGGGGGGCAAGCGUUGUUCGGAAUUACUGGGCGUAAAGGGCUCGUAGGCGGCCAACUAAGUCAGACGUGAAAUCCCUCGGCUUAACCGGGGAACUGCAUCCGAUACUGGAUGGCUUGAAUCCGGGAGAGGGAUGCAGAAUUCCAGGUGUAGCGGUGAAAUGCGUAGAUAUCUGGAGGAAUACCGGUGGCGAAGGCGGCAUCCUGGACCGGCAUUGACGCUGAUGAGCGAAAGCUAGGGGAGCAAACGGG